RNAcentral lists this ribosomal RNA (393 nucleotides) under uncultured bacterium. RNAcentral's name for it is "partial 16S ribosomal RNA". It matches the Rfam family "Bacterial small subunit ribosomal RNA", at positions 523 to 918 of the family's 1533-position model. The record is from RNAcentral.
AUACGGAGGAUGCGAGCGUUAUCCGGAUUUAUUGGGUUUAAAGGGAGCGUAGGUGGGAUAUUAAGUCAGAUGUGAAAGUUUGGGGCUCAACCUUAAAAUUGCAGUUGAUACUGGUUUCCUUGAGUACGGUACAGGUGGGCGGAAUUCGUGGGGUAGCGGUGAAAUGCUUAGAUAUCACGAAGAACUCCGAUCGCGAAGGCAGCUCACCGGGCCGGAACUGACACUGAUGCUCGAAAGUGCGGGUAUCAAACAGGAUUAGAUACCCUGGUAGUCCGCACAGUAAACGAUGAAUACUCGCUGUUUGCGAUACACUGUAAGCGGCCAAGCGAAAGCGUUAAGUAUUCCACCUGGGGAGUACGCCGGCAACGGUGAAACUCAAAUGAAUUGACAGGG